RNAcentral lists this ribosomal RNA (477 nucleotides) under uncultured bacterium. RNAcentral's name for it is "bacterial SSU rRNA". It matches the Rfam family "Bacterial small subunit ribosomal RNA", at positions 329 to 793 of the family's 1533-position model. The record is from RNAcentral.
UGACAGUAUCCUACGGGGAGGCAGCAGUGGGGGAAUAUUGCACAAUGGGCGCAAGCCUGAUGCAGCCAUGCCGCGUGUGUGAAGAAGGACCUUCGGGUUGUUAAAGCACUUUCAGUCGUGAGGAAGGUGGUAGUGUUAAUAGCACUAUCAUUUGACGUUAGCGACAGAAGAAGCACCGGCUAACUCCGUGCCAGCAGCCGCGGUAAUACGGAGGGUGCGAGCGUUAAUCGGAAUUACUGGGCGUAAAGCGCAUGCAGGUGGUUUGUUAAGUCAGAUGUGAAAGCCCGGGGCUCAACCUCGGAAUAGCAUUUGAAACUGGCAGACUAGAGUACUGUAGAGGGGGGUAGGAAUUUCAGGUGUAGCGGUGAAAUGCGUAGAGAUCUGAAGGAAUACCGGUGGCGAAGGCGGCCCCCUGGACAGAUACUGACACUCAGAUGCGAAAGCGUGGGGAGCAAACAGGAUUAGAUACCCUGGUAG